This 1053-nucleotide ribosomal RNA is filed under the name Triticum aestivum (bread wheat). RNAcentral describes it as "partial small subunit ribosomal RNA". Lineage: Eukaryota; Viridiplantae; Streptophyta; Magnoliopsida; Poales; Poaceae. The record is from RNAcentral.
AUGAAUAUCGCGCUUCUCUCCCGCUGGCUUUGGCGCAUCUCGCAAGGGCAUGGUGGCCUAUGGCUUGACAUCAUUCGAAACAAAUACUUGCGCGGUCAGCCCCUCGCCUUCUGCCAGAAGUCUGGCGGAUCUCACUUCUGGCAAUCGAUUGUCCAGCUUCUCCCGGUCCUUCGCAUCGGGACCUCCAUCUCGGUCGGCUCCGGGGCGGCGACGCUGUUCUGGUUUGAUCGCUGGGCCGGGGACACCCCCUUUGCGGCUCGCUUCCCUGGCCUCUUCUCCAUCUCCGUGGACCCCGUGAUAUCUGUAGAAAGGGCCCUUCUUGACCUAGGGCGCCUUGCUUUCCGGCGGGCCUUUGGCCCCUUGGAAUCCGCCGCCUGGCGUGUGUUGCUUGACUGUGUUGCUUUCCAUGAACCGGUUGUGGACGGUGGCCCUGACCUGGUGCGCUGGCGACUCGACCCUUCGGGCCAAUUUUCCACCAAGUCGCUUUACCUGGCCAUCGCCCCCUCCUCCGCCCUCCCCCUAUUGACAGUGUGGUCCAUCCGCCGGCCCCUGAAGAUCUGUAUCUUCAUGUGGCAAUGGAUUCGCGGUCAGGUCCCGUCCGGGGUGGAGGUGCGUAAGCGAAAUGGCCCGGGUACUGGCAUUUUCCCACUUUGUGGGGUCCCCGAAGACUUGAACCACAUCUUCUUCGCCUGCGUGUCCGCUCAGUUCCUCUGGAGCUGCUUUCACGAAGCGGUCGGUGGAAAUUGGUGCCACACCAACUUCCCGGACUUAUUUGCCGAACUCCAGAUGUCCCCCUUGUCUUCUCGCCACAUUAGGUGGCUUGAGAUUGGGGUCCUCGCCUGGACCCUCUGGACGAUGCGCAAUAAGCUUGUGAUUCAACGCACUCCUCUUCGACGGGCUACUGACGCGAUCUUCAAACUUUCGGGUUUCUUGCAGCUUUGGUGGCCGCUUAGCCGUCCUCCCGACCGCGACGCCAUCUCCGCCUUCAUCGCCGACCUCCGUUCGAUGGUUGUCCGUCUGUCGCCACCGCCCCCGCCGCCGGAACCAGACUAG